UACGAAGGGUGCAAACGUUGCUCGGAAUUAUUGGGCGUAAAGCGCACGUAGGCGGCUUGGCAAGUCGGAUGUGAAAUCUCCCGGCUCAACUGGGAGGGUGCGCCGAAUACUGAAUGACUAGAGUGUGGGAGAGGUGAGUGGAAUUCCUGGUGUAGCGGUGAAAUGCGUAGAUAUCAGGAGGAACACCGGUGGUGUAGACGGCUCACUGGCCCGGUACUGACGCUGAGGUGCGAAAGCGUGGGGAGCAAACAGG
This 253-nucleotide ribosomal RNA is filed under the name uncultured bacterium. RNAcentral describes it as "partial 16S ribosomal RNA". It matches the Rfam family "Bacterial small subunit ribosomal RNA", at positions 524 to 776 of the family's 1533-position model. The record is from RNAcentral.